CUUCUAAAGAGUUGUCUUCCA
This 21-nucleotide small nuclear RNA is filed under the name Arabidopsis thaliana (thale cress). Its description in RNAcentral is "snRNA_14931". The record is from RNAcentral. Lineage: Eukaryota; Viridiplantae; Streptophyta; Magnoliopsida; Brassicales; Brassicaceae.